Molecule: ribosomal RNA, 446 nt
Filed under: uncultured bacterium
Lineage: Bacteria
Description: partial 16S ribosomal RNA
Rfam family: Bacterial small subunit ribosomal RNA
Source: RNAcentral
CCUACGGGUGACUGCAGUCGAGAAUCAUUCACAAUGGGGGAAACCCUGAUGGUGCGACGCCGCGUGGGGGAAUGAAGGUCUUCGGAUUGUAAACCCCUGUCAUGUGGGAGCAAAUUAAAAAGAAAGUACCACAAGAGGAAGAGACGGCUAACUCUGUGCCAGCAGCCGCGGUAAUACAGAGGUCUCAAGCGUUGUUCGGAAUCACUGGGCGUAAAGCGUGCGUAGGCUGUUUCGUAAGUCGUGUGUGAAAGGCGCGGGCUCAACCCGCGGACGGCACAUGAUACUGCGAGACUAGAGUAAGGGAGGGGGAACCGGAAUUCUCGGUGUAGCAGUGAAAUGCGUAGAUAUCGAGAGGAACACUCGUGGCGAAGGCGGGUUCCUGGACAUUAACUGACGCUGAGGCACGAAGGCCAGGGGAGCGAAAGGGAUUAGAUACCCUGGUAGUC